GGACGGGUGAGUAACGCGUGGGUAACCUGCCUUAUACAGGGGGAUAACAGUCAGAAAUGACUGCUAAUACCGCAUAAGCGCACAGGACCGCAUGGUCCGGUGUGAAAAACUCCGGUGGUAUAAGAUGGACCCGCGCUGGAUUAGCUUGUUGGUGGGGUAACGGCUCACCAAGGCGACGAUCCAUAGCCGGCCUGAGAGGGUGAACGGCCACAUUGGGACUGAGACACGGCCCAGACUCCUACGGGAGGCAGCAGUGGGGAAUAUUGCACAAUGGGGGAAACCCUGAUGCAGCGACGCCGCGUGAAGGA
This 308-nucleotide ribosomal RNA is filed under the name uncultured bacterium. Its description in RNAcentral is "bacterial SSU rRNA". It matches the Rfam family "Bacterial small subunit ribosomal RNA", at positions 100 to 408 of the family's 1533-position model. The record is from RNAcentral.